UAGGGUUAGGGUUAGCUUAGUAUUUUAAGCUAUGAUUUUUAUUGUCUACUCUCUGACUACUUCAUGCCUCGUGCUUCACUUAUUAUUCACACUUAACUGCUGAGCAUUCCUGUUCACUGCAAGUUGCUUCCUGCUUCCAUACCUUGCUUACUGAUUUCCUUUGCCUGGAACACAUAAUUGAAACUUAACUUGCCUUUGCAGACCUCCACUAAGGCUCCGUCUGUCAGAAGACUUCCCUGAAAGCCAUGGGUAGCUUCAUUGGUCCACUGUGGUCCUAAAGUACCCUUACAGUUAGUGCCUUGUCUUAGGACUCUUCGCAUCAAAUUGAAAUAAUAUAAGAAAAAGAAGGCUUAAUAAAACGGAAUGAAAUGGGGUCAUUUGUAGAGACAUGGAUAGACCUAGAGACUGUCAUAUGGAGUGAAGAAAAAGACAGAAUAUCUUCUUAAUCUCGGGUGACCUCAGCCUGCAGCGGCUCGAAGCAGGAUUUCAGUUCCCAGCCAGAGAUUGAAGUCGGGCAGCAGCAGUGAGAGUGCUGAAUCCUAGCCACUAGACCACCAUUCACCAGUGAUAUAGUUUGAAUGGAAACUCACACAUGAAAAAAACCUUGCGAUAAACUCAUGGACACACAAUACUCUUUCCAUGGACUACUAGAAAAAUGAAGUCCUCCACUGGGGAGACAUGCCCUACAGCUCUACUCCUGCCAUUGCCUAAUGAACUCAUGAACGAAGUGGCCAUGGUGGCAGAGAUGGAGGUUAUGCGUGGGCUCAGCAACAUGGACUUACACUCACCCAGGCUGACCUCAGCCCCUGCUGAGUGCCCCAUCUGUCAGCACCAGAAACUACUGAGUCUCUGAUAGGCACCAUCCCCAGGGUCAUCAGCCAGCUGUCUGGUGUCAGGUUGAUUAUAUUGGACUGCUUUCAUCAUGGAAGGGGCAGUGCUUUAUUCUUAAUGGAAUAGACUUUGGGUAUGGAUUUUUCUUCUCUGCACAAAAUGCUUCUAGCAAAACUAUCAUCCAGAGGCUUACAGGAUCCCUUAUCCACCAUCACGGUUUUGUGUGCAGCCUUGCUUCUGAUCAAGGAACUCACUUCCUUGCAAAUAAAGUGUGGCAAUGGGCCCAUGCCUGGAAUUCACUGGUCUAACCAUGUUCUUCAUCAUCCUGAAGCAACUGGUUUGCCAGAAUGGUGGAAUGGCCUUUUGAAGAUGCAAUUAUAGCACCAGCUAAGUGGCAAUUCAGCCGGCCUUCCAUAUCCAUUGGUUCAACAUUCAUGGGUUCAAUGAGCUGUGGAUAAAAGAUAUUCAAAAAAAAUUCCAAAAAGUUCCAAAAAGCAAAACUUGAAUUUUCCAUGCCAGAAACUAUUUACAUAACAUUUGGAUUGUAUUUACAACUAUUUUCAUAGUAUUUACAUUGUAGUAGGUAUUAUAAGUAAUUUAGAGAUGAUUUAAAAUAUACAAGAGGAUUUGUGUAGGUUACAUUCAAAUACUAUGCCAUUUUACAUAAGGAACUUGAGCAACUGUGGAUUUUGAUAUCUGCAGGGGUCAUGGAACCAAUCCUGUGCAGAUACCAAGGGACAAGUGUAACUUGCAGGACUAAGCAAAGCCCUCCAGGAGGCUGUAUGUGCUCUAAGUCAGCAUUCAAUAUAUGGUGCUGGUUCUCCCUUAGCCAAUAUUCAUAAACCCAGGAAUGGAAAUGGGAAUGGCUCCUCUCACUAUUACCUCUGGUGAUACACUAGCAAAGUGUUUGCUUUGCAUCCCUGUCACUUAAGGCUCUGUUGGUCUAGAGGCCCUAGUUCCAAAGAGAGGAAUGCUUUCACCAGGGAACCCAACAACAAUUCCUCAGAAUUGGAAGUUGAGACUGUUGCCUGGCCACUCUGGGUGCCUCCUGCCACUGAAUAAGCAGGCAGGCAACGGGGGUGGUUUACUCUGGCUGGGGUGAUUAGUCCUGAUCACCAAGGGGAAAUUGGGUUGCUACUACCAUACAAUGUGGGUAAGGAGGAGAGUGUCUGGAAUACAGCAGAUCCUCUAAAGUACCUCUUGGUGCUCCCACAUCCUAUGAUUAAAGUUAGUGGAAAACUACAACAGCUUAAUUCAGACAGGGCUCUAAUAGCCCAGACCCUUUAGGAAUGAAGUUUUGGGUCACUCCACCAGGUAAAGAACCAAAAGAAAUGAGGUGCUUGUUGAGGACAAAGGAAAUAGUUUUAACUAUCCACUAUGACCACAUGACCAUUGCAGAAAUGAGGACUAUAUGACUUAUGAGUAUUUCUUCCUUAUUUUAAUAUUUUUAUUUAAUAGUUUAAUUAUAUAUAUAAUGUAAUAAUUUAAUACUUUCAUUUCUUUUCCUCUGACACCCCCUUAUCAUCUAACAUAAGACCUGUUAAUAAUUGUUAACUUUAUAUCAUAUUUGAGUUACAUGACACAAAACAGGAAGUAUGUAUCAACAGGGGAAAGAAUGAAAAUCAACCAAAGACACUAAAGAAACUCCGUCCUCUCCUGGGAAAAGGAGUGGCAUGUUUUCAGUUUUAUGUAGCAUAGUCUUUAUUCGGCAAUUAAGUAUGGUUCAAGGAGAUGUGCUUGAGUUCAAAGUCAACAAGAAUGGACUGUGGUAGCUUUGUAGUGUGUCAGUUAGGCUAAGUUCAACUACAUUUCCCAGAAUCCAUUCUCUUGUUUCUGGUCAGGUUGGGCCACAAGUAUAUUCCACAUCAAUUGUAUCAGUUGUCUACCGUUGUAACUCAAUCCUUAAUGUACCUAUGGUUGGCAGAAAAAUGGAGACCCAAGGAUGUCCAUAUUCUAAUUCUUGGAAUCUGUAACAUGUUAUAUUACAUAGCAAAGGAGAAUUAAGGCUGCAGAUAGAAUUAAGUUGCUAAUCAGGUGACCUGAAAAUAGGGAGAUUAGCCUAGAUUAUCAGGGUGGGUUUGAUGUUAUCACAAGGGUUCUUAAAAGUGAAAGUCGGAGGCAGAAGAUGAAUCACUGUCAGGGUGAUUUGAUAUGAGAAAAACUUGACCAGACAUUGCUGGCUUUGAAGGUAGAGGGGACCAUGAGUCAAGGAAUGUGGGUGACCUCUAGAAACUGGAAAAGGCUAGAAUAUGGAUUAUCCUCUAGAGCCUCCAGGAGGGAACUCAGCCCUGUUGACACCCUGAUUAUAGCCCAGUGAGACCCAUGUUGGAUUUCUGAACUGCAGACCCAUGAGAAAAUAAUAGUGCUGUUUCAAGCCACUAAAUUUGUGGAACUUUGUUACAGCAGCAAUAGGAACCUAAUACAGUAUACUUUAUUGAUAGUCCUCCAUUCCGUGCCUCACUAUUCAGAUAAACUAAUUGUACCCAAAUCCUUGUCUCAGGUCUGCUUUCAGGAAAUCUAAACUAAGACACUCCCCCUCCUCAACGAAUUCUACUAAAAUGACCAAGGAUAUGUAAAAAUAGGAUGUAAUCUGUAUAAUGAUUGGGAAAUAGGAUAGGUAUUAUUAGUAACAGGCCAAAAAUGCAUUGUGCAAAUUGGCUCAGAUUGAGGCAAGUAUAAAUACCACAAAUACCACACAUUUCAACAAAAUUGACUAGCAAGUAAAAGAAGUAAGCAAUUACUAUUACUCCACAGAACCAGGAAAAUCUCCUCCUCUGAGAAGGAGAGGAUAUAAAAAAGGGGCUUCCAGGAUAAAGUAGGUGUGAUGAAAGUCAAAGUACACAAGGAUUCGUUCGAAAAUUCUUCAGAAAGAUCAGCGAAAUAUAGCAUUCAUUCUCAGCUUUCUCUUGGUGCAAACAAAAGAAAGUAAAAAUGCUAUUAUAUGUAUUUUUUAUGUAUUCUUAUAUGGAUGAAUCUCUCAGAAGGAGAAGGUUGGGCUCCUACAACCUACCCACAAAAAUUAGAACAAAAUAAUUCAGAGAAGAAACAGUUCCUUUUGUUUUAAGUUGACUUCUUACUAAUGGUAUUAGGGUUCUCCAGAGAAAACAGAAGCAACAGGAUAUGUAUGUAUGUAAGUAUAUGUGUGUAUAUAUUCAUACACACACACACACACACACACACACACAUAUAUAUAUAUAUAUAUAGAGAGAGAGAGAGAGAGAGAGAGAGAGAGAGAGAUUUUAUGGAAUUGAGUCACAUGAUUGUGGAGACCUGGUAAGUCCAAAAUCUUCUGGGUAGGCCAGCAGGCUGGAGACCCAGGAAAGAGUUGCAGUUUGAGUCCAAAGGCCAUCAGCUGGCAGAAUUCCCUCUUGCUUAGGGGAAGUCAGUCUUCCGUUCCACGAAGGCUUUAACUGAUUGGAUAAGGCCCACCCAUAUUAUGGAAGGCAGCCUGCUUUACUCAAAAUCCAUCAAUUUAAAUGUUAAUCUCAUCCCAAAACACCUUUACAGAAACAUCCAGAAUAAUGUUUGACCAAAUAUCUGGACACCAUGGCCCAGCCAAGCUGACACAUAAAAUUAACCAUCACAGCAGUUCCCAAGCUGCUUCCUGCGAAGGAAGUUCUUCCAGGGAAAAUGGAGUCUGUCCUGACAAAAGACAACCACGUUCCCAGCGUGAAUGAGCUAAACUGUGGAGGAGGCUACUUGAAACCAAUUAAAUCCUACAAAGGCUGUUUGAGCUGAAUCCAUCAGGACUCACACAUGCAGCCACUGAAAGGAGGCUGACCUUUACAGAUGGCUUCCAGGGGCUUCUCAUUGGGUUGUCUAGGAGAGGCACUGGCAGGAGAUGGCAAUGUGGGAGGAGAGGAAGGCCCAGAUAUCCAUCCCUCCAGCUGGCCAUUAGUUAGCAGUGGCCUCUCCUAGAGACACUGACCCAGCUGUGCUCCACAGCUCUUUCUAAGUCCUGGAAACCACUCCUUCCCUCUACCUUUUCAGCCCCAGGGGUGAUAAUGAAUCCCCAGCUGUUUUACUCUAAGUGCUUCAUCAUCCUUUUGGUUUUCUUUAACCCUUUCUAUACCUUUGUAACUCAUUAAACUCUGCUCAGUUACUUUAUUUGAGAAUCCCAUCAUUUUUAUGCUACUGGGAUCCUGACUGAUAUAAGCACUAAUUAAAAAAAAAAUAGCAAGAAUAGAGGAAAAACUUGAGGCUUUAGACCAGAGUGGCCCAUCUAGUUGAAGAAGAUAAUGAGAUUCUUGUUCUGAAAUGAAAAAAAAAAUUCCCUAGGAUAGAGGAAAGGGCAGAAAAAUAAGUUGAUAAAGUAAUUUUAAAAAGUCAGGCUGGGGCUUCCCUGGUGGCGCAGUGGUUGAGAGUCCGCCUGCCGAUGCAGGGGACGCGGGUUCAUGCCCCGGUCCGGGAAGAUCCCACAUGCCGCAGAGCGGCUGGGCCCGUGAGCCAUGGCCGCUGAGCCUGCGCGUCCGGAGCCUGUGCUCUGCAACGGGAGAGGCCACAACAGUGAGGGGCCCGCGUACCAAAAAAAAAAAAAAAAAAAAAAGUCAGGCUGGUAUCAGAUCUUUCUUCUGUAAUACUAAUUUUCAGAAGACACUGAAGCAGCAUCAAAAAAAUUUUGAGAGCCUGCCUAAGCUACAGUUCAUGGAACAGAAAGUCAUUUACAAACAUGCAAGAACUUAGAAAGUGUACCAUCCACAAAUAGCUCUGAGCAAUGUUUUCAGAAAAAAGAUAAAGUCCAACAAACCAAAAAGCAAAUCACAAUAUAUAAUUCCAAUUGAGGGAAAUGUGAUUUAAAAGCAAUUGUAGUUACUACUGAGAUCAGUAAUAUUUAUGUUCAAUGUUGAAAUAAUCGUUAACAUGGUUGUGAAAUGUAACAAAUGUCAACCAAUUUUGGAAAGACAAGAUAUACAAUUAUAGAAUAAAUUAACCUAGUUCUAAUAUCACAGAUUAUUCCAACAAAAAUGGCAAAGGAAGGGAUAAAACUAAAAUGCACUAGUAUUUCUUUAUUUUUUCUGUUUAAAUGAAAAAAAAUUGAGUCCAUUAUUUUUUAGUUGUUUCAAAGGAAAAGUAUAUUUUAACAUGUAAUUACAAAAAAAGUUAAAUAAAACUUCUAAAUCACUAAUGAUAAGAACGACCAAGUUAUAGUAAAAAAAAUCUGAAAGAACAUGCAGUAAAAUAUUGACAAUGCUUACUCCUGAAUUGUGAGAUCUUGGAGAUUUUUAUUUUUUGCUCAUCUAUAUUUCUAUUUUUCUAUAACGCACAUACAUCUACUAGUGUAGAAACAAACCCUUAUACAAAUGUCCAUAUCUUACAAAAUGAAAUUAAACUCUAAUGCUUUUAAUUUCUUGAAAUUUGUUUAUCUCCUGUUUUUUUUCUCAGAAGUAUUUGACAUAUAGACACUACUAUAUAAAAAACAGAUCACCAACAAGGACCUACUGUAUAGCACAGGGAACUAUACUCAAUACUCAAUAUUUUGCAGUAACCUAUAAGGGAAGAGAAUCUGAAGAAUUAUAUAUAUAUGUAUAUAUAUAUGUGUGUGUGUGUGUGUGUCUGAAUCACUGUUGUACACCUGAAACUAACAUGAUAUUGUAAGUCAACUAUACUUCAAUGAAAAAAAUGCAAACAAACAAAAAAAGUAUUUCAGGCAGUUAACAAAUGGACUUAACAUGUGAGUAAGACAGAUAAUGGGUCUGGAUCAAAUUGGGCAAUUUUUUUUUUGUACAUUCCUGGGAACUUAACAGCAAGAAGGAAUCCCAAGCAUAAGUAAACAUACUAACUAAUAGAAUCAUUUCAAAAUGUAUGAAAAUGUCCUAGAAAUAACUAAAGUCAACAAAAUGUUUUUUAAUAAUCAAUAACCCCAAGUGCUAUUUAACUUCUGAGAGACCUUAGUAGUGUACAUCUUUUGAGUUUUCUACUCAACUCUCCCUUUUCUAAGAGAUUCUGUCCCCUCAUACACAUGGUGGCAGUGGGCGUGGCCACAUGCCAUGUUGUUGCAGGGGUUACCUGAACCUAGCUGGGAUUCUAGACAUGGGUCUGAGAGACCCAGACCACCCUCUCUAGUGGCUUUACCUAUUAAAAACACACUAUUGGGACUGUUGGUGGCCAUGUUCCUCUUGUGGAUUGUGCAGCUGAGGGAGCUGGUUUGCAGAGAUAGAAAAGAACGAAGAGAGGCAGAGCAGAGGUGAAGAUAAUUGAUGAUACACUAGCUUCUUGCUCCAGUUUUUGCCUGCACUCCAGCCAUGUUCUUGUCCUUGGGAUCUCAGAGCCACCUCAGUAUCCUGAGGUAGUAUCCUGCAGUAGUUCAGAUCAUGAGCUGUGACAUUAGAUUGCCUGGAUUUGAAGCUUCGUUACUAGCUAUUGGGACCAUUUGCAAGUUCCACUAUCACUUUAAGCCUUGGUUUCUUCAUCUCUAAAAGGGAGAUAUUAGGCCCUAUUUUAUAGGAUCAUGGUGUUAUAUGAAUUAAUACAUUUUAAAUGUUUGAUAUAAAAUAAGUGCUGAAUAUUAACUGUUUAUUAUAUUAAGGGCUAUAUUAAUAAAUUAUAUUAAUAAAUUAUACAAUAUUAUAUAAUAUUAUGAUAACUAUUAAUUAACUAUUUAUAUCCUUAUAAUAAAUUUAUUUUUCUGCUUAAAUAUUUACUAUCAAAGGCCCAUCCAGAUCUGCAAUUCCUUUUGGGAAGAAUGAUUUCAAAACUUUGGGCUGGUGAUGGUGGGGAGGUGGAAGAAGAAGAAGCAUAGUAAAUAGUUAAGAGUAUGAGCUUCUUGGUCAGUGAGCACAGUAUUUAGGUCCUAUUUUUGCCUUUUACUAGUCAUGGGACCUUAGGAAAAUUACUGAGCAUUAAAUUCCUUAUUCGUAAAAUUUGUGUAAUACAUCUGGCUCAUAGAGAAGUUGUAAAAAUUUUUCAAUGAGACUAUAUGCCAGGUAUCUGGCACAUAGGAAUACCAAAUAAAUAUUUUAUUAUUUUAGUUAUUAUUACUAACUCCACAUGCAGGUGACCAGCACAUCAAGCGGCUAAGUUAAAAUCAGAGAGAUAAGGGGUAUACAAAGACUCAUACUGUCAACUAAAAAAUAAUGCAGGAGGCUGCAAAUAAGAAAACAGUUUAUUUGGGGUUUUAAGAAUUGCAAUUCAGGGCUUCCCUGGUGGUGCAGUGGUUGAGAGUCCACGUACCGAUGCAGGGGACACGGGUUCAUGCCCCGGUCCGGGAAGAUCCCACAUGCCGCGGAGCGGCUGGGCCCGUGAGCCAUGGCCGCUGAGCCUGCACGUCCGGAGCCUGUGCUCCACAACGGGAGAGGCCACAACAGUGAGAGGCUGGCGUACCACAAAAAAAAAAAGAA
Long non-coding RNA from Orcinus orca (killer whale), 8168 nucleotides. RefSeq lists it as uncharacterized. The record is from RefSeq and is a predicted model, not a curated record. NCBI's taxonomy places the organism in Eukaryota, Metazoa, Chordata, Mammalia, Artiodactyla, Delphinidae. The transcript has 6 exons.